GGGGGGGGGACGAUCUAGGGGGUUCCCAGUCCGGAUGACAGUGUCUCGGAGUGGGAAAGUUUGCGAACUUCGGCAUCAGGAUGCAAGCCCGUGCUAAUCCCUCAUACAGACGUGCCCCCACCUACUUCCACAAAGAUCCAAGCGGCUCAGGAAAAGACCGCACCCAGAGUCAAAACCCUUACUAACGACCGGCAGCGGUGGAGACAGCCCUUCACAUCAGCGCCGUGAGGGCAGGUUUCAAAACACUUUAUUCUCUACUCCUGUGACCUGAGAAAGCCACCAUCUUCGCACUGGGCUGCCUUAGAGAAAGGUCGUGGCAGGUGAUCUGUGCCGGGAGCCGGGGAGCCUGCCCUUGCCCAGCUGCCCUGAGCUCUUGUAGGAACGCAGCGCGCGCUCUUGUGGUGGAACGCGCACCAGGCACAGCAUCUGGCACGUAGAAGGGAAACGAGUGUGAAAAAAGAAUUGGGACCACCAGGGAGACAUGCCACAGAGUCAUCAGGGAGGACCACCAAACAUCCUUCCAGCUACCAGUUAAAGCAUUGAUAAUGUUGGCCUCUACAGCAGCUGAAUCAAGAAAGCAGAACUGCGGGGACUCUCACCCAGCAAUUAACGGUCUCAGCCCAGCAUUGAGGCACGUCCCUCCUGCUCACAACU
Molecule: long non-coding RNA, 654 nt
Filed under: Ailuropoda melanoleuca (giant panda)
Lineage: Eukaryota; Metazoa; Chordata; Mammalia; Carnivora; Ursidae
Description: lncRNA (ENSAMEG00000027959.1)
Source: RNAcentral